CAGGCCUAACACAUGCAAGUCGAACGGGGGUAGCAAUACCUCAGUGGCGAACGGGUGCGUAACACGUGAAGAACUUGUCCAUCGGCGGGGGAUAGCCGGCCCAACGGCCGGGUAAUACCGCGUACGCCGUCUGAAGCGCAUGCUUCGGCCGGGAAAGCAGCAAUGCACCGAUGGAGAGCUUCGCGGCCUAUCAGCUAGUUGGCGGGGUAAUGGCCCACCAAGGCGACGACGGGUAGCUGGUCUGAGAGGAUGACCAGCCACAUUGGGACUGAGACACGGCCCAGACUCCUACGGGAGGCAGCAGUGGGGAAUAUUGCGCAAUGGGGGAAACCCUGACGCAGCGACGCCGCGUGUGGGAUGACGGCCUUCGGGUUGUAAACCACUGUCGCGAGGGACGAAAAAAAUGACGGUACCUCGAAAGGAAGCACCGGCUAACUCUGUGCCAGCAGCCGCGGUAAUAC
Molecule: ribosomal RNA, 461 nt
Filed under: uncultured bacterium
Lineage: Bacteria
Description: bacterial SSU rRNA
Rfam family: Bacterial small subunit ribosomal RNA
Source: RNAcentral